This 203-nucleotide long non-coding RNA is filed under the name Elaeis guineensis (African oil palm). RNAcentral describes it as "long non-coding RNA (EGUI_LNC013217)". The record is from RNAcentral. Lineage: Eukaryota; Viridiplantae; Streptophyta; Magnoliopsida; Arecales; Arecaceae.
CCUGGGUGUUCUGUCCUCUAACACGCCAUACAAAACCUCAUCUGUCAGGCAAGCUUUAAUCGUGGCACAUGCCUUUUUCUCUAAGGACAUCUACUGCUUGUCAUUCAUCUCCUUCGGUCUAUCUUUUAAGGCUGAAUCCAGCCCCAUUUGAAUCAGCAGAUCCUCCACCCUGACCUAACUAGGGAGGGGGGACAGCAAUCCCC